This 260-nucleotide ribosomal RNA is filed under the name uncultured bacterium. RNAcentral's name for it is "partial small subunit ribosomal RNA". It matches the Rfam family "Bacterial small subunit ribosomal RNA", at positions 26 to 287 of the family's 1533-position model. The record is from RNAcentral.
AGGACGAACGCUGGCGGCGUGCCUAAAACAUGCAAGUCGAACGGGGUCCAUCCUUCGGGAGAAGACCUAGUGGCGAACGGGUGAGUAACACGUGAGAAACCUGCCUUGAAGUCUGGGAUAAGCCAGGGAAACUUGGUCUAAUACCGGAUAUCUUCAACACUUCUUAUGGUGAGUUGAAGAAAGUUUUUCGCUUCAAGAGGGUCUCGCGUCCUAUCAGCUUGUUGGUGGGGUAAUGGCCUACCAAGGCUUCGACGGGUAGC